RNAcentral lists this long non-coding RNA (40380 nucleotides) under Citrus sinensis (sweet orange). RNAcentral describes it as "long non-coding RNA (CSIN_LNC000144)". The record is from RNAcentral. Lineage: Eukaryota; Viridiplantae; Streptophyta; Magnoliopsida; Sapindales; Rutaceae.
GCUGACACGAAGUUGGAUGAGGUUAGAGCAACGGGACAAAUUGGUAGGUAUUGUACCCGAAAAUGAAUUGUUGGGCAGUGCUAGUUUCUCAAGCCUUAAAAGAUUACCAAUUUCUUGGGGAAUUUCGCCAUGGAAGCUGUUGUCCGAAAGGUUGAUGUACCUGAGGAAGCUGAGAUUUCCAACGUAAGGAGACAAGAUGCCUCCUAUCCUUUGGUUACUCAAAUCUAACCGGGUCACCCUUUGAUGCCGAUGGCCACAAGUCACUCCCGUCCAUUGGCACAAGUUUAUGGUAUUGUUCCAUGAACUUGUGACUCCUGAUGUAUCAUGAAGCUGUGACUUUAUGGCAAGCAAUGCGAGUCGAUCUGUCUCGUUGGUUUGGCCAGCAGAAAAGCUAGGAGAAUUAAUAAGCAACAAGCUGAAGCACCAUAUCAAAAUGGCAAGGCAGCCAAUGGAAAAGGAAAUAUUAGGCAUUUUUCUUAAGGUGGAAAAGUGUAAUGCAAUGGAAUGUGUGGGUGAUUGUAUACUCACACAUAUCAAAAAGUGAAGGCCUUUUAUAGGCAUAUUUGACUAGUUUGUAUACUCACACGUCACAAAUUAAAGCAGUGGAGCUCUUAAAUGCAGAAGCACAGCUAGACUUUGGAAGCUUCAUCCUAGUUUCCAGGCCAUGAAUAUGAUUGGACAGCCAAAUGACUAUGUGGUGAGAACAAUAUAGAAAGAGAAAAAGGGGAAAGGAAGUUCGGUGUGAAAGAAAGGAGAAGAAGAGAGAAAGUUGAGGGGCCAGGCGUCAGAAAAAAAGAGAAGGAGAAGAAGAAGGAAAGUGGAGGGACGGUGGGGCGGGAGGGAGCAACGAGCAUUGUAAAAGAAAGAGAAAAAGGGGGAGACAGAGGGAAUCUCAAUCUGCAGAGAAAAAGGUAUUCAGUAUGCUAACGCUGAAAACGUGUGACGUGUCUCUCCGGUUCAGACACUACAAAGAAAAACUUCGAUCCGGUUUGUACGGUAUGGGGGCUGGGAUUUGACUAGCGUGUCGCCGGUCGUACUACUCUCUAACAUUAAUUCCUAUUGUUUAUUGACACGUAAGUAUGGUCUUGUUUAAUUGGACUGCGUGGCUAUAGAUUGUUGGUCUAUAAGUUUGUGUUUUUGUACAGAAAAGCCGUGGAAAGAGCCGAUAUUCACGCGACGUGGGGACUCAUCGAAAGUAAUUUAUAAUUUCUUUUUGGUAAAGAUUUAAUAGCUUUAUGACUUUUUUUAUUGUGUGUUGCGCAUGCAUUGAGGUAACUGUGCACAUGAAGAAACACGUGGAGACGAGGAUUGAGUUAGACGGCUUUUUCUUUGCAGUACUGCGUAUAAUAUGUAUUGCUACUACACAAAAUAGAACUACAUAUGAGCAAAUUAAUAAUAUGAGGAUUGAGUUAAUAAUUUUGAAUAUUCGGGUCCUUCAAAAAAAUUAAUAAUUUUGAAUAUACAGAUUUGAAAAUAGAACUACAUAUGAGCAAAUUAAUAGCGUAAACAGCAUUUCAAUUUUCAACCGAACGAAUUCGGCCAUCAAGCGUAUCCAUAAUUAGUAACAAGAUUAUUUCAACACAAAACGAAUUGAUGAUCAUCCAUCACGGAUAUCCAUAAUAACAAUUCCAAUAUCACUGAACAAACCUAUAUAAUGAUUUCUAGGCCUAAUGGAUGGAACAUUCCACUUAGUAAUAUUCAGCCAAGUUUCACAGAACAGGCCCUGUCGCAAGCGAAGGCGGUAAUUUGAUUGAUCAAAUGGUAGCAAAGGCGGCAACGGGUGGUUGGGUCCGCCGAGAAAUGAGACCGCCGGCGAGAAAGGGUUAGCAGCUUGCGGUAAAAGCAAAAGGUUUGCGGUAAAGGAAAAUGUUCAAUUUGGCACAUGCAAGCUCCCUGAGAACUUCACAGGCUGCCAAGAUCUUGCCAAGCAAAAGGUUAUUAUCACAUUCUAGCUCUGUUCAUUCAUUUGUUUGCUGUUGAUUUGUGUUGAGUAAUUUUAUUUUCAAUUUUCAACUUUCAAUUUUAUUUUUUGCAGAAAGUGCCAUUCAUCUCUGAUGAUUUGGAAUUGGAGUGCAAAGGGAAAGACAAAUAAAAGUGUGGUUCCAAUUUUUUUCUGGAAAGGGUGAAGUGGGACAACUACUCUGUUUAAACAUUUUAUUUUACCCUAAAGAGUUACAAGUAUUGUAGUAUUUUAGCUCUCUACCCAAAACACUAAUACACCCAAACUCUCAAAUCACUAAAAUAAGAGCUUAUAAAUGCAAGCUCUUAAACUCUCUCUCAACUCCCUAAAUUGUUCUCUCAAGAUUGGAUGAAAAAUGAGGGUGGGAAGCCCUCUUUAUAUAGCCAAAAUUUUGGCUCUUUUUUUUUUUUUUAUUGGAGUCAUUCAACACGGCACCACCAACAAUGGCGGGCCGUGUUGAAUGUUGAAUGGUUGGCACCGGCCAUCUAGAUGGCCGGCGCCAGCCAUGACUUUCAACACAAUUGAAUCUUGCUGUAGUUUAGUAUUGAACUCUCAGUUUGCUGAAAGUAGUUUCCAUUCCUAAAAUGCAAUUCAUUUGAACCCCAAAGUUCAAAUCUUCCCCAGAAAACUCAAGAAAAAGAACACCAAGAUGAGCUUUUGUUCUGUAACUGGGGCCCGGGCAAAGGGAACACCUGACUGUUAAAGCCUCAAACAAAUUGACAUUGCCAUUUCACCGAUGGGGCCAGACCUAAUAAACUAACAUUUUUCAUGCAGAUCUAAUUUAGUGUACCUAUAAUGCCUGCCGGUGCUGGGGCUUUCGUUGUAUUUACACUGACCACAUUAACAAAAGAAAUACCCUUUAUUUUAGGAAUAGCUUUGGGAUCCCAUCCUUCAUCAGGAUGGUCAUUAGACCCUCUACUGAUCCAUAUAGGUAUCUUGACUCUCUCCAUUUUUAUAUUCCUUAUGGUAAUAUUUUCAAUAUUUCUCCCUCUUCAUUUGUCGGUCUUUAUACGAAUCCCAGCUGCUGCAUCCCAAACAUGCAAAUGAUCUACAGUUACAUUAAAAAUCCCUCAAGACAUCUCACUACCUAUUCAUUCCAGCUCCUGAACAAGUUGGGGUAGUGCCGGAAACACUCCUUACUACGAUGUUUGAACUUGGACGAGCCAUCGCAAUGCCAUAGCGGUCCAAUCCGCACCAAAACUUGGACGAGCCAUCGCAAUGCCAUAGCGGUCCAAUCCGCUAUUCACUGCCACCGGAUCAUCCCCACUUUCAAUGUAACAGUCUUUAAUACACACAUUCGUGCUCGAGUCUGUAUAAUGCUUUGUAUAGGUUUGUAAUUCAAAAGCUUAAGAGACAAUACUGCCCAAGAAAAAGAAAUGAGAAAAUAAAGAAAAUAAGAAUGAAAAGAGAAUAUUUGUCUACCUAGGUCUAUACCAUCAGUAUUUGGCGCAUUAAGAGGAGCCAAGAUUGUCAUCCCUUUGAUAACAACAUUCCUGAAACAAAUGCAAUGCUGCCUAUUGGCGCUCAAGUAGAUGACUCAUAAGUGUUAUUUUUUCUGUCACACAUUAAUGCUAAGGUGCUAAUUGCUGUGGUAACACGACCCGCCCCGACCUAUAUGCAAAUCCGAGGCGAAUCAUGUGGUUUGAUUACUAAAAGUCAUAAUAUAAACUUAAUUUAGGAACAUAUAAAAAUGAAUUCAGGCCUCUACUAUAUUCAUUUAAUAACAUAUGUAUCUCAUUUGAAAACAUAUACAAACUCCUCACACUUAACAUCUCACUAUAUACACAUACAUCAUGCAUAUUUACAUAUGAACAUAAACGUGCUCAAAAUACAAGUGAUGCAGUAAUGCAUGUCAUGGCUCUCAAUUGAUUAAAAAUUGGACUAUACGAAAUCCAACAGAAAUUUGGAGAAAUAGGGUAAAUAGGAAAAUAGUUAGUUUGUGGCUCGGUGACUGGAUAUAAUAUAUAUAUAUAUAUAGAGUAGUUUUACAAUCCAGUAUCCGGGAUUGGAGUUAUAAUCCGGGAGACAAUUUGUUGCCGUCGGAUCAAAUCCAACGGCAACUUAUAUUUUAAUUUCAAAUAUUGAUUCCAACAUAAGGGCCCACAUGCAGACUUUUAUAAUUUUUAAUAUUAAAAAAAUAAAGUUGCCUAAUAAAUUUUUAGAGAGAGAACUGAUAUUCCCCAUCGGUUUCUUCAUCACUGCUUUUCAGAAUCUGAAUAUCCUCUCCAUUUCAUUCCUCCAAGACUUCAAAUUUCUUCUCUUUUUACUCAAUUCCAAUUGACCCAUUUGAGUUUUUAACGAUCAGAACCGAACCGGGGGGGGUUAAAGAUCGGUUCUUUUGCGACUUCUAAGGCUUCCUUUUAAUCUUUGGAUCUGGAUAUGAGGGGUUUCAAUGAUUGGGCUGUGACCGACGCAGUGUGACCGCAGGUGAGUUGAGCGAUGGCGAAGGGGCGAAUGAAGAGGGAAAAGGAGAGCCACAAAAGAAGGGAUUGGAAGGGCUCGCUGCUUUCGAAGAAGAAGAAAGCGAGAAAAAUGAGAAACGAAGAGUCUGUAAAGGCGAUUAAGAGAGAAAGUUUUGUGAGUUUUUGAUGGAUGUUGAUGCCUGACUGGAGUAUGGAGAUCCUGCUCCAGCACUUCUCUGUAGUUGCCGGUGAAGGAAAGUUAAUAGCAAAGCUCACCUGAUUGAUUUACUAAAAUCAGAUGGAUCAUGAACUCGUUGUUUUUUAUGUUCUCAAUAUUAAUAAAAUUACAAAGUUUGAGAUAAACCAAAAAAAAAAAGAAUUACGGCGGCAACAUCGGCAAGAAAUGGUGACAAAAUGGAAAUCAGUGUGCAUGUGUAAUCAUGUGCUUGUUUUAUUCCUUUUUCCCCCUUGAUUUAAGUUGUACUAAAAUGGAUAAUGAAAAAGUGGAAAUCCCAAAUGGUGAUUUGUUAGUAUCAGUUCUUUUUGGCUUUAGUCAGAUGAUGAAGAAUCCGGGGAGGGAAUAUCAGUACUCCAUUUAAAAGCAGCUUUACUUUUUAAUAUUAAAAAUUGUAAAAGUCUGCAUGUGGGCCCGACUGUUGGAAUCAAUAUUUGAAAUAAAAAUAUAAGUUGCCGUUGGAUUUGAUCCGACGGCUACAAAUUGUCUCCCGGAUUAUAACACCAAUCCAGGAUACUGGAUUGGAAAACUACUAUAUAUAUAUAUAUAUAUAUAUAUAAAGUAAUGCACUAGUGUAGUAGUGCUUAUACAUAAUCAUAUUACAUAACUCUAGUGAACACAUUACAUGACCAAACAUACAUAUAUUAUAUACAUGACAAAACUAUACUAAAUAGAACCCAAGGGAAAUAACUCUUAAAACUCGCUAGAAUCAUCAUCGCAAGAGUAGAGCAGGGGAAAAACCUCUCAAUCCCAGCAAAAUUUAACUACAUCACACGAGUAGAGGAACCUAACUCUCAAUUCACAUGCGCAGAGCCUAUAAGGGAGGGUACACAUAUGAUGAUUAGCAAUGACAUCUCAUGACUCAAUCAAACAUAUAUUAUGUGUACAUAUAAUCACAAUAUGAUAUUAAAUCAUACUAUCUGACAUAAAUGCUUCACAAAAUACAUAAUAGUAAUAAUAGUAUCCACUCACAACUCUUGUUUCACUCUAGGGUUUGUUAGGGCUCUUGUGGGUCUCUGGAUUCUUGGAUUUCUAUAAAAAUACAAGGUUAAAAAAUUAAUGAUUAGAAAUGAUACAAAAACUUAUAUGAUGUAAAAUAAAACAUAACUAACUACUUAAAAUUCAUGAAAAUAUUACCCACUAACUCCCUAAAUGUAGAUCUAACUAUCCAAUUAUAUUUCCCAUAAUAUUUCCCUCAAUUCCACUUUUCAAAUUAUUUUCCACUCACAACUUCUUAAUUUUCUUUUUCUCCUUUUCCUUUCUUUUCCUCUUUUCCCAACUCUCGGCUUCUUUCUUUUCUUUCUACUUUUAUGUUUCUUUUCUUUUCUCUUCUCUACUUUCCCAUUUCUCUCCCAUUUCCUUUGUUUGUUCUGGGUGCUCCAAUUUGAUAAAAUAAAGCAGCUGUCAAAAUUUUGCAUUUAUAGAGCGACCGAACGGCCACCGAAUGCAAGCAAGCAGCUCCCACUUUAUAUAAGCACUGCUUGAAGCAAGCAAAUAACUAUAUUACAUUAUAAUACUGUAACGAUUCUCUUACUAAGCAGUAUAUAUUUUUAUUUUAUUUUAUUUUAUUUGUGCAUAUAUGAUGUUGCAUUUAUCUGCCUAUAAUUGGCAUAUAACUAGUUACAUUAUGGACUUGCAUGUGUUAAUAUGAGCAUACCACGCGAUUAGUAUUUUGCUCGGUACAUUUGUGCCGCUCUUAGACACUUGGGUGGUCAGUGACACUACGACUAUUUUUUCUCUAUAUUAAUGCUCUUUGCGAACAUGAGGCCCAACAUGUCUUAAAUGAGUUACAAUGUCUCAUAUUUCUUUACUUGUAACGAGACUUUUCUUUAUGCUACUUCUUAUUUUGAUGAAUCGUUUUGCUUUGAAAUGGAGAAAUAUGCUCGAUGAUUCGCUUGCUUCCUUGUUCAAUGAUUUGUUUUUUAUUGAGAAUAAGAUAAAUUCGCCAGCUUUUAAUUUUGAUAACUCACUUUGUACUGAGACAACGAUAAUUCACUUGCUUCUUUUUAAAAAAAUUUCUUUUUGAUUGAAAUUAUGAAAAUUUCCUUUGAUUUGAGAAAUUUAUCUAAGAAUAAGAUCGGCAAAAACAAAUAGAAAAAAGAAAAAUUCGAGCAUUAAAUUUUCAUUGGGAAUAUAUCAUCUUGGUUGAAACGGGCAAUCAACUUCCUCACUUUCAAUCAAAGGAACAAAUUCCUUUAAUUAAGCCAGCUAAGUAUAUGCCAUAUUCUUAAUAGUUUAUACGAAGAAAUAUUAUGACCUUUGGCUAAGCAUCUUUCUAUUACAAGUUAUGCGGAGACUUUUAAUUCACACAUAGCGUAGCUUGUGCUUGGGUAGAGAAAAUUAAAAAUUUGGUCCGCUGACGAAAGAGUUGGUGGGUUUUAUCCCCCUUUUUUUUUUUUUGUGCGUAUGUCCAUGAUCUAAUUUUUUAUUAGUUUUAAUGCUGACUAACAAAGACAAGUUUACAGAUGGAAAAUAACUAUGUUAAGAGUUAAAAGCUGGUUGUUAGGUAUAUGUCUACUUUUCCAUUUUUUGUGUCAUCUUACACUAAUUUAUCAAGUUGGAAUUGAAAUAAAAGCAAUUAUUAAAGCAAAGAUGUAGAAAAGUUGAAAACUUUUAAACUACUAUUAAAAGCGGAGCAUGUCGGAAAGAAAUUAUCUUCCAAGAACCUUUUUUUUUUUUUAAAAAAAAAACAUAUUCACAUAUACACAAUUAUUCCAUUGUAUAUAUUAUACAUGAAAUAUAUGUGAAAACCUUCAAAUUGAUCAGGCAUAUUUAUCGUUUUAUUCUAAAUUAAAAGGUACAUAGACAUCAGAAAAGUAAUUUUUCUCUUUUUCUAAACCAAAUAUCCUUUCCACUUCUAAUUACAAGUUCUCUUUUUCCUUUUUUAUUUUUUUUAAUUUACCUGUGAAAUCACUUUCAACUACUCCAUUGUGAUAUCAUUGCCAACACGGCCAAAUAUUCGACGAAGGAUCUAAUUUUUUUAACGUUCAGGAAUCAGGGGUAAAAUCGUAAGUCAGAACAAAAGUUUUCUCUUUAAAACACCGCCCGACAGAUUGAACGCCCUUGCUCAGUAAUUGCUCUGUAAGCUACACGCGAAGUCCAAAACAAAGCAAGAAGGUAAAGACCGGGACCAUGACCGCCUCCGUGUCUGCGCCUAUGGCGUCUGCUGCGGAUCAGCAGUAUGUGACUGCGAAGACGUCGGUGUGGUGGGACAUAGAGAACUGCCAGGUGCCGGAUAACCGUGACCCUCACACGAUAGCGCAGAACAUCAGCUCCGCCCUGGUCAAGAUGAACUACUGUGGUCCCGUCUCCAUCUCCGCCUACGGCGACACCAAUCGCAUCCCCGCGUCUGUACAGCACGCGCUCUCCAGUACUGGGAUUGCUCUCAAUCACGUCCCCGCCGGUAUAUCAUUUUUCACUCUAUUUUUUUUUUUUUGGGUUGAGAAUUUUUUAAUUUAUUUUAUUAUGAAUGUGACUUCGAUGAUGAAUCUCCACUUUGACGGUAGAAUUUUAUACCAAAAAAGAUUGGUUUAAUUUGUUGAUUGAUCGAUCCCUGAUAUUUGAUUUUGCUUCAGAAUUAAUGGAUUGAAAGCUUUUUUUUUUUUUUCUUUUUGGCUUGUGUUGUAUGAUGUUAACUGACUUGUUAAAGAAUGAAAAAAAAAAAAAAAAUAGGUAUUAAAGAUGCGAGUGACAAGAAGAUUUUAGUUGACAUGCUAUUUUGGGCAGUGGACAAUCCUGCUCCCUCGAAUUAUCUGCUGAUAUCCGGAGACAGAGAUUUUUCUAAUGCUCUCCAUCAAUUGCGUAUGAGGAGGUAUAAUAUUCUUUUGGCACAACCACACGAGGCAUCAGCACCACUUGUUGCAGCAGCGAAGAGUGUAUGGCUUUGGACGAGCCUUGUAGCUGGAGGACCCCCGCUUCCUAGUGGUGAAUCUUUGCUUCGUACUGGUGAUUUCGCUACUUUUAACCCUGAAAAUGAACCUGUUCAAGCAAGCCGACCAAUGGGAAACACAAAUACUGGAAGAGUUGGUGAUACAAAAUCUAAAGGUAAACACGUAAACAAGCGCACAAAUCAGCCUAGCAUAUCUAGAGCUGCAAGUACACCAGUGGGUAAUGGAAAUAAUUCCAGAAGAAGUUUUCGGAAUCAGCAUCCUUUGCCUUCGAGGCCAUAUCACUUCCCUAUGCAACCAAAUUUUCCUCAGGAUAAUUUUCUACCUCAUAAUUCUCACAACCAUGGUUUCCGCCCCAUGCCUCCCAAACCGACUGGUUUGGAUUAUCCCAUGUAUCCCGAACCGACUGGUUGGGAUUAGAGAAUGUAGAAAGGAAGGUAAUUUAAAUUUUAUUUUUAUUUCCAUUGUUUGUUUGGACAAAAUAUAUAAGAAUUUAAUUUUCAUUAAAAUUUAAUAUCCUAAUGUAGAAUUUGAAUUCUACAGCAAGUAACAAAGAAUUUAAAUUCCUCUUAUGUUGGAAAUUUAAAUUUUUAACUUCUUUAAUGCCAUUAAUAAUUAUUAUUUAUAGUUUUAUUUUAUUAAUUUAAUAUUAUAAAAAAUUAUAUAUUAAUUAAAUUUAAUAAAUGAUUUAAGAUACUUAACAAAAUAAAUAAACUUAUUUAUUUAUUUAAUAUGAAAAUAUAAAAAUAUAAAUUAAUUGUCACCGGACCUCUGCCAGAUGUUGCCGGAAAGUCAUCGGAACUUUGCCGGAGGUCGCCGGACCGCCGCUGCACAUCUCCGGAACUCUGCCAAACGUCGUCGGACGUUGUCGGAAAGUCGCCGGACAUCACCGGAAAGUCGCCGGACCACCAUUAUAUAUAUAUAAGAUUAUAUUUCAUUACUAAUAUAAAUAGUUUAAUAUUUAAAAUAAAGGAUAAAUAUUUUAAUUAUAAUUCAAACCAAACAAUGAAAUCUAAUUUCACUACUCUCCUCCACUCCUUUCUUCUCCCUUCCCUUCCAUUCUACUCUUUUCCUCUCCUCCCCUUUCUUCAAACCAAACAUGGCCUAGAUUUCCUUUGAGCCCCACUUACAAAUUUGCCUAAUAUUGGUAAGCUAAGUACGUUCGAGCAUCCAAACUAUGCUGAAAAUCGUCCUAAUUUCCAUCCUCAAAGUGGAGAAGAAUUCAAAACAAGCUAUUCUGACUCCCCAAAUCCAGCUAGCCUAAACGUACCACAAAAAGGCCAUGCCAUGCCUGGUGGCCAAGCAACCGUGAUUCUCUAAACAGUAGGUAUUCCCGUGGUCCAGAAGGUCUAACCUCGUCAUCGUCCUCAACAACUAUUCCUGCUUCUAGUAAUGGCGGGUGGGGGACUCAGGGACACCCGACUCCUUCUGAAUAUGUACAAGGCCUCACCAGGUAUUAUCUAAGAGAACAAGUGAUUAUUAUAAAUAUUGAAGUAUUAGUUUAAAGCUAAUGUUAGUAAUUUAACUUUUAUUAAUUUUUGGGUAUGAUCUAAUAUUAUUUUUAAAAAAUAAUUGCUUGAAAUUUAGGGACUUGACAAAAUUUCAUUAGAUUUCAAUAGAAAUAACGUGCGUAAUAAAUAAAUUAAAUAAAAAGGUAACAAGUGAUCAAAGUACUGAGUAAUUAAUGUAAAAGAUAACAAGUGAUUAAAGUAUUGAGUAAUUAAUGUUGUAUGGAUUAAUUUGCAAAUCCUUCUGGACCGGUUCGAAAACCUGCUGAAGUUAUUGGGCUUUUCGUGAAAAUAUCAUCCAGUUAAAGGGAUGAAGUGAUAAAGGGAUGCCGAUGUGGCAAAGGAGUUUGUUAAAGUUUGUUAUCCCGUAACAAACCCAGAAUUGCCUUUCUAAGCGAUAGUUAGCUUAGUUUCGUCAUCUUGUAUUUUCUCUUUGCUAAGUCAUUUUCUUUGAUCUUUGAUUUGUUCGUUAGUUUUACAAUGUUUCUUGAUCAGAUUCUGAGUGAUUAAGCAAUAAAUGGCGUGUUAAUUUUUGCUUCAAAUUUGCUGUUGUGUGCAACUUUCUUUGUUCUGUUUCCAGUUUCCUCUGUUCGUUUUGGUGCUUGAUUUUAUUUUUUUUUCAAAGUUUAUUUUGGAUUCUUGGUUUGAUAACCAUUGAAACUUCAACAAUUAAUUUACUGAUUAUAUUUUAUUUUUGAUUGAACAACAAAGAGAAGAAAAAAUAUUAAAGAGAAAUAGGAGCGAUAGAAAUUAUAUUUCAUAUGAAAUGGAUGAGAAGUACGAAUAUGGGUAAAUAGAUCAUAAGAUUAAUAUUAAAGACAUAAAAUAUAAAAGAAAAAGUAGACAUAGCUCAUUAAGAAUCAUAUCUUAACCCUUUCAUCAGUUGUGAAGUUAAGUAAUUUUAGUUUCCUCAAAUUAUCAUUAUUUUUUAUAUAAUUUGUAUAGAAUAUUAUUAAUGAAAUAUAUUUCAAUUUCCAAACGAACAUGUACAAAUGCUCUUUUAAGAGCAAAAGGAUUAAAAAAAAUAUUGAUAAUAAGAUUAAGUAUGUCAUAAUAUUGAUUUUUUUUUUCAAUAACAUACUCAUUGAGUUAUUUCAUGAAUUGUAUGUGUUAAAUGUAUAAUAAGAACGUAUGAUAAAUCGUGAUUAGACAAACAUCUUACGAAAAAUAAAUUAAAUUAUUAGCGUUGAUAUUUAGAAAUUAGCUUAUGUUCAACCAAAUUGAUCAUCGUUAACUAAUUAUCAUUAGAAGUAGGCAACCAUCGCUAGCCAUCCUUAAUAAUUGUUCUUAAUCAUCCUGUGAAGUGUGAAGCGAUGGCUACUAUGAAUUAUAAUUAAAGAAGAAAGAAUAAAGUUAUUUUUAAUGUAUUCAAAUUUUUUUAAAAAAAUUGUCCUUUUUAGUAAUUGUCAUGAAAUAAUAAUAAUAAUAAUAAUAAAGGGGUGCAAGCAGAAGCAAUACAAUUCUUUGAAGGAUUCCUAUAUGAUGUCAUAAUUUUUUUCCGGCAUCAAUAAUGUUUUAAUUGUACACCAUUAGAUUUAAUUAAUGGUAUACAACAUUUGUACUAAAGAAAAAGUUUUUUAAAAAAAUUAAAAACAAUUGUAACCGGUUUGUAAACCGUUUAUGGGGGUAAAGAAUUUUUAUAAAACGGCUUUGACCACCCUUGAAGUUUGAAACAAUUGCACUUGAAUAUCAUUUUUUUAAAAAAUAACUUUUUGACCCUACUUUAAAUUUGUAAUGUGAUGAUCUUUUUUAUAUAAAGGUUUCAAAAUCAAUAGUAAGUUAUUUAACACAAAUCAAAUAAAUACGUUACAAUUGUAAAGUUUAUAUAUGAUUUAAUUACCAAUAAACGAUAGAAUUAAGAAGAUAUAUUUAAGCUAAUGUCAUAAUUACAUCAAUAAACUCAAAAAUACUUGCUCACGCAUGUUUUAAUAAAAUUUAAUAUCGCAUAUUAAAUUACUUGUUAUUUUAUAUAUUAUUAAGUACCAUUGUAUAAUUGAUCAUGAAAUAUAUAUUAUAUUUAACACUCAUUUAGCAUAACUAUUCCAUGAAUUUAUUAUCUUACAAUUAAUAUUCUUACAUGGUAGGAAAUUUAAGUUUUAGAGGCCUAUAUAUUUUCAUUUUAUUUUGAAUAUCACUUUAUUAAUUUCAUAAAAAUUAAAUCCAACAUAUAUUCCUAAUUAGCUUUAUGAAUCAUGAAAGAUUAUUUUAUUGAUAUCAUUUGAUUGUAUUUAUGAAAUUUUAUGUUACUAAGAGUCAUUACUUUUAUUACAGUAAUUAAUAGUGACAAUAAAUAAAAUAUUACUUCCAAUAAUAUUUACAUGGGAAGGAAUGAAAAAAAAAAUUCUUUGUAUAUUUUUAUAUUUUUGUUACGUGAUAGGAAGUUAUCCAAGCCUUGUAAAAUUUAAGUUUCACAGGCAUGUUUUUAUUUUAUUUUCAAAUAUCACUUCAUUAAUUUCAUAAAAGUUAUAUCUAACGUGUAGUCCUAAUUAGCUUUAGUUUAUGAAUCAUGAAGGUUAAUUUUAUUGUCAUCUUUGAUUGUAAUUAUAAAAUUUUUACGUUAUUAAGAGUCCUUACUUUUAUUAUGAUAAUUAAUGGUAAAAAUAAAUAAAAUAUUAUGUCCAACAAUAUUAAACAGAAAAAAUGAGAAAAAAAUUCCUAGUAUGUUUUCAUAUUUCCAUUAUAAAGACAUGGUUUGAGAUAUUUUAACUUAAAAUUUUGACACAAAAUCAAAAUUUAAGCCAUUAAUCUCUCACAAUCUAAUGACCGAUAUUGAAAGUCAAACCAACAUUUUAUAGUGUUAUAUCCUCCACUAUUUAAUUGCGUGAAAUGAAUAGUUUAAUUUUGUAUUAAAAUUUAAAUAAAAGUAUUUCUCAUUUGUUGUGACUUAUAUAGUAGCAUUAAUAAAACAUAUAUAAACUACUAUCAUAAUGCUUUCUAUUAUCAUCAUUUUUUAAGUAUUAAUAGUUUUGUAAUUACAUUCGUACAACACAAAUUAUUAUAAGACUUUAUGUAAUAUCUUUAUGUAAAGUACUAUUGAAAUAACAUUACUUAUUAAUUACAUUUAUUUUAAUGCUAUUAUACGUAUUUCUAAUACUAAAUGUAAAACUUAAAAAAAAUUAAAAUUGUAAAGUAAAGUAGUACAUAAUAAUUUCAAUUCCAAAAUUAUUUUUUUCAUUUCUUGGUGACUUAUAAUAUUUAUCAGUUGAUUAGAUAAAAAAUAAUUUAAAGUAUGAAAAAAUAUCACAACUUGCAAAUUACUUGUUACAUAAUUACUUAUCCAUUAAUAUUAAAUCCAAAGAUCCUAUUAUUGAAUGUGGGAUUUUUUUAUCCAAUUUAAGAUAAAUUUUCAUUUAUCAAUUAAUUAAAAAUAAAAAUACAUUUACUUGCAAUUUGAAGAUUACCUGUUAUUAUUUAAUAAUUAAUUUUUUAUUUAGUAUGAAAAAAUGGUAGAGAUUAAAAAAAAAUUAAACUCAUAGUGAAAUGUUGAACAUGAAUCCAAAGAUUCAGGCACUUCAUUUGCAUUAUUUCAUCUAUAAUUCAUUCUCGCCAUUUUAAUUUAAAUUUUAGUACUACUUAAAAAUCACCUCCAGCUAAUUCACAUACAUACUUAGAAAAUUAACUCUAUAUAUAAUUAAAUUUACCUCCUUAUGAGAUCAAUACUCGUCAACAUAAAUCUAUACCAUAAUAGAUUAGUGCGCUUGUAAGUACAAUAAAAUUUGCACAAUAGUAUGCCAAAAAAUUAAGACUUGACCCAUGUUGUGAAGAUGUGAGAUGAUAAUAUCUUAAUAAAUCAUUAUGUUCAUUAUGCUUAUUCCUUUCUUGUCAAAAGGCCUCAUGGUAACUGAGAAAAUUUAACUGAACAGGAUUUCUAUUAUGUAAUGCUAGUUUUACGAAACAACUUAUUCUUUCAUUUGUAGACACCUUAGAUAGUGAUGGAAAAUCAUAUAAUUAAGCCGGCGCCAUUUAGAUUUUGGAGAUUCUAAUGCCGCUGUAUUCAUUUUUUAUGUCCUGCAAGUCCUUGAUGAGAUCUUAUGUAAAAUCAAUACUUAAAUUUCUACUUGUUAGUUAACCUUGUAUUGUCAGUGAACUUUCAUUAAAGGAUCUAGUAGGGAUAAAUUUUUAACUAAACUUACUUUUAGCAUUUUUGAAGUAUAAUGUUUCCAAAAGCAUGCAAGUAAUAUUAAUAUAAUGGUUAUAGUAUAUUGUUAAUCUAGAUGUUGCUUACUGUUGUUUCAGUUCUCUUAUAAGAAGUCGCAUCUGAAGGAGAGAGAACUCUGUAUUGCUGCCAGUCUGUUCCUCUCUCGUGUUGGUAGCAUUACAUAAAGGAAGUUAAGAUUGAGGCUCUAGAAAGUUUCCAAGAAAAGCAUAUAUUAAAGUGCAUGUUGGAGAAAAUUGAUGAUCUUUGGAGAUCUUUGUGUGUAUGAUGUGUCAAAUAAUAAUGAUGAGAACAACAUUUAUUGAUGCUCAAAGUUAUUACUCUAAAGACGGAGACAUCUUGGAGAAGAUUGAUGAUCUCUGAAUGUUUAUCUGUCUGAUGGUAGUGAUGAGUCUGGUAAUAAUAACUUGAAAAAUUUUAUUUGAGCUAGCCUAUAUUUGUUGUUUUUAUCGAAUUCUGUUGUAAUGGUCACUAGCCCCAUGUGUUUAUAGCUUCAAAUGAACCUGUUCAUUGUACCUUUUCAUCACUUCUUUAAUUUAAGUCUUAAACUUACUUUUUAGUAUAUAGUGUUGAUUUAUACCUCUCUUGCGUAUCAAAUAAGAAAACAUUUGGUUACAAAAAGUUUAUAUUCCUUUCCUUUAUUAAUUCUCCACAUGUUUUGCUACCUAGUAUUAAUCUUGGAACUUGAAAUUCAGUUUAUUUGAUCUUGUUUGUUGGUUGGAUCAUUGCUUGUGCCUAAUCAUAGCGGCGGACCCAAGGGCAAAUAGUGAUUUGUGCCGUGUGGACGUGAGUGUCAACUAGGGGGAAAAAAAAAUAAGACACUAGUGUACGAAUUGGAUAUGCAACACUCACUAGCUUAUGGAAAGAAGAAAGGAUUUACAAUAGAUGGAUUAAGGCCCUAUUUGGCAUUGAAGUUAGGCAAUCGUAGCUUAAAGGCUACCGUAUUAAAGUGAUCAAACAUUAAUUGUUAUAGCAUAGAAGUUAAGAUGAUUUGAUUUUACACUUAUAUAAUAAAAAAUUUAUUAUAUUUUACUAAUUUUAUCAAAAUUAUUAUUUAAAAAUCGUAUUUAUUAUAUGAUAUUAAUUAUUAACUUUUAUUUCAUAAUUAUAACUUUUUUCUAUCGUAACUAUAACUUAAAAGGUACAAUCCGUCAAUACCAAAUAGGACCUAAUUCCUCGUUAGGCACUUAACAUCACUAUUACAUCAAACCCUCCUACCAAGAAAAGACUCCCUUGUGUGGCAUAACUUAGCCACAAUAUCUCUCAUAUCCAUCCGCUCAAAUGGAGAUUCCAUUGAGCAAAGAACACCAAUUCUAAUUAUAGCAUUCAAACACUCCUCCAAUUUGGCUCUUCUAUCUUCCCGAAUCUUAGAGUUGUUCUCUAUUACGUCCAUCAAAAUUGAAGGAUCAAUAAUCUCCAUUACUUUUUCUGGUAAAGCCAUCUUAGCAUAUUCAUGGAGAGUAAGUCCUUCUUUAAAUGUUACAUGUUCCAUGAGCAGACAAUCCAUGAGUAGAUAAUCCAUGAGCAGACGAUCCAUGAGCAGACGAUCCAUGAGCAGAUAACCCAUGAGCAGACAAUCCAUAAGCAGAUGAUCCAUGAACAGACGAUCCAUGAGCAGAUAACCCAUAAACAGACAAUCCAUGAGCAGAUGAUCCAUGAGCAGAGAACUCAUGAGCAGACAAUCCAUGAGCAAACAACCUAUGAGCAGACAAUCCAUGAGCAAACAAUCCAUGAGCAGACAAUCCAUGAGCAGACAACCCAUGAGCAGACAACCCAUGAGCAGACAACCUAUGAGCAGACAAUCCAUGAGCAAACAACCCAUGAGCAGACAAUUCAUGAGCAGACGAUCCAUGAGCAGAUAACUUGUGAGCCUGUGAGCACAACCAACAGUCAGGAGGUGCUGGAAGUUUUUCCGGCGAGAACCCUUCGAUGAUCAAGUUAGCGAUUUGGGUCUUACUUGGAAAAAUCCAUACCACAAUUCAUGUGGCUUAAUUAUGAUUGCUUUAAACAAAAAAGCUUUUAAGUAAAUUUAAAGGAAAAUAAUUAAUCUUAAAGAAAUCAUAAGCAGAAGAGAAAUUUUCCAGUGGUAGAUAGAGAAAAAGGUCUAAUGGGUUCAGUUACCCAGAGAGAGAGAAAGCUAGAAGAAUCCCCCCUUUUUCCUUCCCCUUCCUAGGGUUUUUAUAGGAAACUAUAGCGAUUUUUAUCCUCUCCCCUAGAAUUCUCAAGAAAACUACUAAUUUUCAGCCCACUAAGAAUAUGGUCCCUAAUAUUUCGGAGAAAAUGUUUUGACUGAAUCGUGCUUCCUGGUAACUUCCUGGUCGAGGUGACCAAUAACAUCCUGGUCGAGGAAAUGUGCUCGAAGUCACCACAUAUUAUUCUGAUCGAGGUAACCAAUAACAUCCUGGUCGAGAUGAUGUACUCGAGGUCACCACAUAUUAUUCUAGUCGAGGUGAGCAAUAAUAUCCUGGUCGAGGUGAUGUGCUCGAGGUCACCACAUUUUAUUUUGUUUGAGGUGACCAAUAACAUCUUGGUCGAGGUGACCAAUAACAUUUUGGUCGAGGUGAUGUGCUCGAGGUCACUACAUAUUAUUCUAGUCGAGGUGAGCAAUAAUAUCUUAAUUGAGGUGAUCUGCUCAACCAUUUGCUCACUUUUACUUUGAGGAGAGUACGAUAAUGUAUGAGCAAACACCUUUAUCUUAGUCACCCUAUUUCAUUCCCUAAACACAUACCAUACUCUUAAACAUAUUGAUUCAUUGUGUUAGGUGCCAAAUGAAUGCUAAGAUCUAAUAAAUCUAUAAUACUUUUUAAAUAAAUAAAUAUAUCAAGAUGUCCACAUUUUAAAAAGUGUGAACAGAGCUAAAAGAUAAAAAGAAAUAGCAAGAACUUUAAUGUAUUAGAUUUUAUGGAAUUGGAGUUUUAGUUUUUUUUUUUUCAGCUUUGUUCACAUGAUUAAAAAAUAUGCAUAUUCAUAUAAGAAAAUGAUGGGAUAUGUGUGUGUUACAUGAAAACAUUACCUGGAGCAACAUAGCCAACUGUUCCUUUAAUCCCAAUUGAGCUUGAUGGAGUUUGAUUAGAAGUAUCAAGGUGGUGGCUGAGAGAAAUUUUGCCAGUCCGAAGUCACCCACAUGGGAAACCAUGUCACGAUCUAGUAGAAUAUUGCUUGGUUUUAGAUCUCCAUGAACCAUAGCUAGUUGACAGUGGUGGUGAAGAUAUUCAAUUGCAGAACUAACAUCAACGGCCAUGUUCACUCUUUGAAUAAGACUUAAUUUACAACCUUCAACUUGAUCAUUGCUCUGGUGCAACCAAUCCUCUAAACUUCUGUUUUCCAUAUAUUCGAAAACAAGAGCCUUGAAAUCAACCCCGUUAAAAUCUAUACUAGAGCAAAUAGUAAUGAUUUUGAUAAGAUUUCUAUGGCGGAUAUUUCUUAAUGCUUCACAUUCAGUCACAAACCUCCUAAAAGCUCCUUUUUGCUUAAGAUUUAUCACUUUCACAGCAACUAUCAUUUCAUCUUCACCCAAAAUCCCCUUGUACACAUAUCCAAAGCUUCCUUGACCAAUCAUGUUUGACGAUGCAAAUUCACUAGUUGCCUUACUUAGCUUUGCAUAAGAAACCAUAAGAAAUUAUUUCUCCAUCGGUGAUGUAUCCAUAGAGUUAUGAGCAAAUCUCAUUCUUCGAGCAUAAAUAAUAGUAAGGCAUGAGGAUAAUAUCAAACACGACACUACCACUGGAAUCAACACUCUAAGUGUUGAAAAGUCAAAGAGUUUUGGUUGAAAAAGAAAAGUGAGCCACAUGCAUUGCUUUUGUUUUUCAAAGUCGGCACCAAAUUGUAAGCUGUAAAAUAUUUGGCUUUUGACAAUCCUUCACCAAAUGAGGAAAAAUGAGAAAGGUUGGCAAAAUUUGUCAAAUUGACAGAUAGGAGAAUUGACAAAUUGCAAAGCGGAUGGUGCAAUAGUGCAAUGUUUUUUGCUCUAAAUAGAGAUGCAUUCUUCAUUUGUAAAGCAUCCAAAAAAAUUGUUAAGCUUACAAGUUUCUAAGCUUUUGAGAGAAGUGAGAGAAGUGUGUCUGGGAAAUUUAUCUUUCUUGUAGAGUGUGAGAGUACUGGGUAUAUUUGGGUUUUUGGAAGUGAGAUUCGUUACUCAAAUAUUGUACUCUAUUAAUUGUUAAAUAAACAAUUAUUCUUUCUUGCCUCUGUGGAUGUAGGUUUAAUUACCGAACUACAUAAUUCUUGUGUCCUUUAUUUUUCUAUAAUUAUUUGGUGCGCUUGAUUCCGCAUUCCGCACACAACAAGUGGUAUUAGAGCCGACGGUUCGCACUUGGGGGAUAUGGUACUGUUCACGUAUACGAUAAGAGUCUAAGGAUUCUGGUUUUUAAUUGGGACCGAGUUCCCGUCCAGUCUCCGGGGAACUUUCCUGGUGUAUUUAUUCACGUGAAAUUAACAUCAUAGAGACAGUUUUUCAAGUGGAAAUAGUUCGUUGAGAAAAUGGUAGAAGGUGAAACUUCCAGAAUUGGGGAAAGAUCUACGGAGACUAUUUCAGGAGACACUUCAGGUGGGAGGCGAGAUUUGUCAAAUCGCUAUUCAGCACAUGUUAUAUGAGGCCAGAAGAUCGAUGUUGAAAAAUUUGAUGGGAAAAUCAACUUCGGCAUGUGGAGGCGCGAAGUUAUAGAUGCCCUUAUUCAAAUCGAUCUAGAUGUUGUUCUGAAAAAUAAAAUACACUUGUAUGAUGAAGAAAUUUGGGAUCGUAUGAACGAGAAAGCUUGUGGUCAGAUCAGAUAUUGUUUGAUCAAGGAGAUGAAAUACUUGGUGAAAGAUGAGGAGUGUACAGUGACUUUGUGGCGUACAUUGGAGGAGAAGUACUUGUUGAAAGUCUUGAAAAUCGUCUUCAUGCAAUAAGCCAAAUAUAUAGUUUUCGAAUGAAGCCUAGGGUGUCAAUGCACGAUCAUGUCUCAAGAUUUGAAAAGUUACUUGUUGAUUUGAAGAAUUUUGAUGAAGAUAUUAAGGAUGAAGUCAAGGCUAUGAUUCUGUUACAUUCACUACCAGAGGAAUAUAGCCAUUUUGUGACUACCUUGAUAUAUGGGAAGAGUGUAAUCGUCUUCAAAGAUGUUUGCACAGAAUUGACUAACUUGGAGAUUUGGAAUAAUAAUAAAAAUUCUGAACGAGCAUCGUCUAAAGCUUUGAUGAGUAGAGAUUGGGCGAUGGACAAAAAGAAAAAGGGUGGUGGAAAGAAUUCUCAAUCCAAAUUGAGAAGUAGAAAUAUAGCUCGAGACGAGUGUGUCUUUUGUCAUGAAAAGGGUCAUUGGAGGAAAGAUUGUCCAAAGGCUCAAAAUAGAGAUGGGAAAAAACCAGCAGCAGCAAACAUGGCACGGAAAGAUGAAGAUUCUGAUUAUUCAUUAAGUAUUACUCCUGCAGCAUACGUGGCUAAUUCGAGUGAGUGAAUACUUGAUAAUGGAGCAACCUAUCAUUUGUGUCAUAUUAAGGAAUGGUUUACGGAUUUUCAUAAUCUGGAAUUCGGUGCAGUUGUGUUGGGGAAUGAUCAACCUUGUCGCACAAUGGGGAUAGGAACAAUUCAGCUCAAAAUGUUUGAUGGAAUGAUCAGCGAACUCAAAGAGGUUAGAUUUGUUCCAGGUUUAAAGAAAAAUCUAAUUUCUGUGGGUGCUUUGGAAGCUAAAGGCUACAAGGUUACCAUUGAAGAUGGCACAAUAAAGUUUACACAUGGGGCUAUGGUGAUUCUGCAAGGGGUUCGGCAUCACAAUCUGUACUAUUUAAAGGGAGGUACAACUAAUGAAGCAAAUGUUAUUAAGGUGCACAGUGACACCACCAAGCUAUGGCAUGUACGACUGGGACAUACUAGCGAGAAGUCUUUGCAAACUCUGAUGAGGCAUGGACUCUUAAAAGGUACCAAAACCUGUAAAUUAAAUUUAUGUAAGCAUUGUGUAGUAGGCAACUGAUGAAGCAAAUGUUGUUAAGGCGCACAGUGACACCACCAAGCUAUGGCAUGUACGACUGGGACAUGCUGGCGAGAAGUCUUUACAAACUCUGAUGAGGCACGGACUCUUAAAAGGUACCAAAACCUAUAAAUUAAAUUUCUGUGAGCAUUGUGUAGUAGGCAAGAAAACAAGGGUCAAGUUUGGUACAGUUAAUCACGAUACUCGUGAGAUCCUUGAAUAUAUUCAUAGUGAUGUAUGGGGACCAACCAAGAUUUUUUAGUAAAAAAAAACUUAAUACUCAUUUUUAAUGAUUAAAAAAAUAUGUUAUUUGGAUUCAAACAUCCAAAUCUAUUUAGAAUUCAGAUAAAUUCAGAUCUAUUCUGAUUUCAAACUAAAAAAAAAACCACCUGAAAUUCAAAAUAUAACAAUUAUAAAAUAUUAUUUUAUUCUCAUUUAUUAAAAAACAAUACCCAAGCGGCCUAAUUCAAUCAUUCACAGCUUCUUAUUUUUUUCGAACAGCUUUUGAGUAUUAAUUUAAGGCAAGCCAACUACUCUUAACAUUUCAAAAAAUGUGUGUUGAAAAACGAACACAGCCUCUAUUCUCUAUCAUUUACAUUUAAUAAUUCAGCAUGACAAUAAACUUCCAUCUAAAAUAAUUAAAUUCUGUAUUUUUUUGAGGGCGCAAGUCAGUCAAGUAGAGGUUGACGUCUAUUUUAUCGAUAUCAGUAGAGUACAUUUUUCUCUAGUUAUAAUGUGACAAGUCAGUCAACGAAACCAUGUUUUGUAUUUCGUUACGAGUUCGAAUCUCAAACUCUCUGGUACAACCUUAAUGAAAUCCAAACUAAGAUUAUUAUUUAUUCUAUCAAUAUUUUGUUCACAUUACGACAUCGAUAUAUAUUCUAUUUUAUCAUCAGGUCUUGAUUAAAUUUUUUUUCCUUAUUAUUAAAAUGAAUCUUAAUAUAUCAAUGAGAAAAUAAAUUUGUAGUUUUUUUUUUGUUUUUUAAUUUCUUUUGUUGUAUUUCCUACUUCUUGGUGUUCGGUUCUAUGUGAAUUUUAGGAUUAAGUUAAACCCAGUGAAAUUAAUAAUAAUAUAAAUAUAAAUUUUUUUGUUUGAAUUGAGGUGAGAUAUGAGACGCUCCAAGGAUUUAAAUUCAGAUGAUCAACUAAAUAAACAUGUUUCCGAAGAUUCAGUUUCAAAUAAUUAACUAAAUAAAUUUUCUUUAAAAUCAAUCAAGUAGGCCUUGGAGUAUUUGAUGUGUGUAUCAAUAUAUGCAAAUUGUUGCUACAAAAGAGAAACGUGAAGACGGGGUUAAGGGUAUUUAUGAAAUCAAAAUAGGUAUUGUUUAGAAAUGAUAAUAUGAUAUUACUUUCAAAAUUAUUUAGUGUAAAGGGGUUUGGAGAGAACUUUCUGUGGAUGACAAUAGCUCGAUUCUUUCCUUAAAUAAAUUUUGUGUUUAGUUUUUCGACCUAAAGCAGCGGAUAAACACAAAAAUAAAAUUGAUUUAUGAAGAUAGGCUAAUGAAAAAGUUAUAUGGGGCCCUCUUUUUUUUUUUUGGUAAUUUUCAAACAGAUAAAGCUUUGUUUUUGAAGCAUGCUUUUACUAUUUUUUCUGCUGCCCAGAAAGCAAGAACUAAUUAAUACAAUCAAGAAUUGAUAUUGCAUCUCAAAAAAUAACUAAAUAAUACUACCUAGGUUUGACAUAAGAAAAUAAGAAAAUGAAUCUUGGUCGUCGUUUUCACUUCAUUUUUUCAAAUACAUGCAGUCAAAGGCGCUGGCUCAACCCAACUAAACAUAUUUUGCUUCCAGAAAAUAUCAUUCGAAUAACAUGAAGAUAAAAAUGACAUCAUUGUAACACAAACAAUACUGUUAUCUUUUAUGUUUGUAUAUUAUUAUGGUAUGAAUAAUAUUCAUAUUUUUGUCUUCCUGCGGUUCAAAUAACAUUCUUCUUUGCUUCAUCUUCCUUCUAUUUAUGUAAUAUCAGUUGUCUUAAAUCGAAAAUGUACAAAAGGGGAUUCAUGAGUGUUUUAAAGGGGUGCUAAUAGUUUAACUUUUGCUCUAUCAGCUCCCAGGCCCAACAGCCCAAGAAACUAAUGUUCAUAAACACAGAAAAAGACUUCACAAAGAAACCUCUGCUACCCUUCGACGGAUCUACUCCAUUCUGAUCUCUCAAUCUCUCUCCUCUCCUCUUUGCUGUAAACCCCUCACUGGCUCCCUUGCCCGGGAUAUCGCCGGUGACCAGAAAUUGAGCACUGCCAGACGCAGCAGCCAUAUGCUGCUGACAUAGCCUAGUUACAGACGGUAAAGUUUUCUCAAUCAAACCUCUUUAGUUAUUUUUUGCGAUGUCGUAUCAAUUCUUGAUUGUUUAUACUCUUUCUAGAAGGCUACUUAAUUAACAGUAACUCGCUCCUAUGGAGAGGAAGAAGACAAGUCCCAAUGUGCAUGUGGACAGGAUUUCGUCAUUGCCACAACUCAUAUUGCAUCAUAUCCUGUCAUUUCUCCGACUCGAACAUGUUGCUCAAACUAGUGUACUGUCCAAAACGUGGAAACGUGUCUGGCACACAUACCCAACUAUAUGCUUUGAUCCAUACAACUCUACUUUGAGUAGACAAAAGAGGGUUUUGAAAGCUUAGAACAAACUCUGCUAAAUCGUCAUAUGAAUGCCAUUGGUUUAAAAAAGCUCAUGCUUAGCCUACACUUAUCAGAUGAUCCAAAAUUCGCAUCAAACAUAAACAGGUGCCUUAUCUAUGCAAUUGCUAGCAAUGUCGAAAAGUUAAGUCUUUAUUCGGAUGACUUGUUUUUUGUAGUGUGAUUUUUGUAACGAAUUCAUGUUAAUGUAAUAUAUAUUAUCAAACCUUAAUUUUAUUUAAAUUUUUUUAUUUUAAUAUUAUUAAAUCAAGUUUAAAAAUUAAAAAUGUAUCAGUUAUUCGGGAAUCGAGAACCUUUGGGGAUCCCUUGUUAUUAUUCAGAGAGGGGACGGGUAUCUCCUCAAGCAAUUUUGAUAGGGACGAAGAGAGGACGGGGGACAUUGCAGAAUAUCGGAGAUGGGUACAAGGAUGUCGGUUCCUGCCCCUCCCCUCUCCUCCCCAUUGCCGUCCAUGUACUAUGUUUACUCACUUUGAAUUACUUAAGAUGUUUAAUGAUAUGACAUCUUAUGUGUCAUCCAUUAAGUGAUGAUAGGUUUAUAAUUAAUAAUAAAUCAAUUAAUACUAUAUACAUGACAUUAAAUGAUUGACAAUACAUCAAUAAUUAUCCCAACUAAGUAUAUAAACUAAGUAAGCAUAGCAUUAUUGUUCAAUUAAACGAUUGAUAUUCUAUUCAUUUCCCUUUUUUGACUAAUUAUAUAGCCAAAUUUAUUAUUUGCAUUCUUUCUAGAGCUGCGCAUAAUCCAAUCAAUCCGAUCGUAUUGAAUUACAUUGGAAGUUUAGAAAUCUAAAAUUGAUUGUUUAGAUAAUAUUUUUGCGCUUAGCGUUUUGCAAUGUCAUAUCAAUAUUUUCUCUUUAGGCACUUAACAUCGGUAUCCGUUACAUCAAACCCUCCUGCCAAGAAAAGUUUCCCUUGUAUGGCAUAACUUAGCCACAACAUCUCUCAUCUCCAUCCGCUCAAAUGGAGAUUCCAUUGAGCAGAGAACACCAGUUCUAGUUAUAGCAUUUAAACAAUCUUGUGUUCUGGCUCUUCUAUCUUCUUGAAUCAUAGAGUUGUUCGCCAUUACCUCCAUCAAAAGUGAAGGAUCAACAAUCUCUAUCACUUUUUCUGGUAAAGUCAUCUUGACAAAUUCAUGGAGAGUAAGUCCUUCAGUAAACGCUGCAUCGGUUGGUCGCCUUCCGGUAAACAUCUCCAGUAACAGAAUUCCAAAGCUAUAUACAUCUCCUGUCAUGGAUGCUUCGCUGCCCAUGCCAUACUCUUAAACAUGUUGAUUCAUUGUGUUAGUUGCCAAACAAAUGCUAAGAUCUAAUAAAUGCAUAAAACUUUUUAAUAUAUAAAUAUAUCAAGAUGUCUGCAAAUUAAAAAAUCGGAACUGUGCUAAAAGAGACAAAAAUGAAAAAUACGAACUCUAAUGUAUUAGUUUCUCAGAGAAUUGGAGUUUGUGUUUUUCUUUUUAUCUUUCGCAAUUGUUCAUAUGAUUAAAAAAGGAUGGACAAAACGUUACCUGGAGCAACAUAGCCAACCGUUCCUUUUAUCCCAAUUGAGCUUGAUGGAGUUUCACUAGCAGUAUCAAGAUGGUCACUGGAGAGAAAUUUUGAUAGUCCGAAGUCACCCACAUGGGCAACCAUGUCGUUAUCUAGCAGGACAUUACUUGGUUUUAUAUCUCCGUGAACCAUAGGUGGUUGACAAUUGUGGUGAAGAUACUCAAUUGCAGAAGCCACAUCAAUGGCUAUGUUCACUCUUUGAAUGAGAGUUAAUUUGCAAACUUCAAGAUGAUCAUUGCUCUGGUGCAACCAAUCCUCUAAACUUCCAUUUUCCAUAUAUUCAAAAACAAGAGCCUUGAAAUCAGCCCCCUUAGAAUCUAUACUAGAGCAAAUAGUGAUGAUUUUGAUAAGAUUUCGGUGGCGAAUAUUUCUUAAUGCUUCACAUUCAGCCACAAAACUCCUAAAAGCUCCUUUCUGCUUAAGAUUUAUCACCUUCACUGCAACUAUCAUUUCUUCACCACCCAAAAUCCCCUUGUACACAGAUCCAAAGCUUCCUUGACCAAUCAUGUUUGACGAUGCAAAUUCACUUGUUGCCUUACUUAGCUCUGCAUAAGAAAUCAUAGGAAAUUGUUUUUUGGCCGGUGACGUAUCAACAGAUUUAUGUGCAGAUCUCCUUCUUCGAGCAAAAACAAUAGUAAGGCAUGAGGAUAAUAUCAAACAUGACACUACCACUGGAAUCAACACUUUGAGAAGAGUGAGUUUUGGUUUUCUCGAUCCUUUAGACGGACAGGAUAGUAAAUGCAAUUCAUCUAUACCCCCACAAAGCUUUACAUUCACCUGGAGUGAAAUUUUGGUUUUAUUACUAAAAACUCCUUUAGUUGGAACCUCACCCUCCAAAUGAUUGUAAGAAAGAUUUAAGAAUUCUAAGAAAGAUAGAUUUUGAAGAAAUUCUGGAAUCUGGCCAGACAGAUUAUUGCUUGAGACAUUUAACUCUUUAAUGCUUUUCAUGAAACCUAAAGAAAAGGGAAUGACGCCAUGAAAAGAAUUGCUCGAAAUAUCAAGAUAUUCUAAGCUUACACAAGUACUUAAAGUAACAGGAAUCACACCGGAAAAUUAGUUGCUAGAUAUGUCCAACAUUACGAGAUUCUUCAGGUUGCCCACUUGUAGAGGAAGAGAGUCGUUUAGAAGAUUAUGAGCAAGAGCUAGGUAAACUGAAAGUGUUGUUAUGCUGAGAACUUGUUGGGGUAUGGCACCGGUGAGCUUGUUAUGGGAGGCGUCGAAGCCUUUCAAAUUCUGACAAUUACCAAGAGAUGAGGGUAUGUUGCCUUGCAAGUUAUUGAAGCUCAAUGCAAGAUCGGCUAGUUUAGUAAGAUUACCAAGACUGGGGGGAAUGCUCCCUUGUAAAAAGUUUCUAAACAUGUAUAAUUGUUGUAAGUGUUGAAGCUCACCAACUCCAUCAGGAAUAAUGCCAUGUAAUUGGUUUACUUCUAUAGUAAGUGCAAUUAGAUUGACAAGAUUUCUUAUUCCAGAAGGUAUGGUUCCAGAUAUUUGGUUUCCUCCUAUGCGAAACUGAAUCAUUGUUGAGGAGAGAUUGGCUAUCGAAUGAGGCAGCUCUCCUCCGAAUUGAUUAUCACACAAACUAAGCGCUUUCAAACUACUACAGUUAGUUAGAAGGGUUACAAAAUCAAGAUCAUUGGCUGUCCCCAUCCCCAGAUUGUUCUGCUCCAAAUUUAACCACCAUAGAUUCUUAAGGCUGCUAAAAUCAAUUGACACUUUCCCUUUGAAUUGAUUGCCGGAAAGAUCGAGGCGCUCAAGAUUUGAAGCAUUGGACAAUGAAUCAGGAAUAGAGCCGACAAAAUUGUUUCUACCAAAAUGUCAAAUAGAGCUCUUUAAGGUUUGGAAGAUUGACAAGAAUGUCAAAUGGUAAACUUCCACUGAAUCUGUUUACUGUAAGAUAAAUAAACUCCAGGGAAGAGAUAUUACAAAUCCAACGAGGAAACAUACCAGAGAAUUGAUUUUCAGCUACGUUGAGAUAAACUAAGUUUCUGAGUAGGCCAAGGGUAGUUGGAAUUUGGCCGCCCAAUGAAUUCCAUCUAAUUAGUAGCAUCCCAAGAGCUGAAAGAUUCCCAACGAAAUCUGGGAGCUGUCCUGUUAAAUAAUUGAAGUCGAUGGCCAAUGUUUGAAGGUUCAACAAGCUCCCUAUCUCUUCUGGGAUUUGUCCCUCGAGCUUGUUUUUGCUGACACGAAGUUGGAUGAGGUUAGAGCAACGGGACAAGUUGGUAGGUAUUGUACCCGAAAAUGAAUUGUUGGGCAGUGCUAGUUUCUCAAGCCUUAGAAGAUUACCGAUUUCUUGGGGAAUUUCACCAUGGAAGCUGUUGUCCGAAAGGUUGAUGUACCUGAGGAAGCUGAGGUUUCCAACGUAAGGAGACAAGAUGCCUCCUAUCCUUUGGUUGCUCAAAUCUAACUCGGUUACCCUUUGAUGCCGAUGGCCACAAGUCACUCCAGUCCAUAGGCACAACCGCACAAGUUUAUGGAAUUGUUCCAUGAACUUGUGACUCCCGAUGGAUCAUGAAGCUGUGACUUUAUGGCAAGCAAUGCGAGUCGAUCUGUCUCGUUGGUUUGGCCAGCAGAAAAGCUAGGAGAAUUAAUAAGCAACAAGCUGAAGCACCAUAUCAAAAUGGCAAGGCAGCUAAUGGAAAUGGAAAUAUUAGGCAUUUUUCUUAAGGUAAACAAGUGUAAUGCAAUGUAAUGUGUGGGUGAUCGUCUCUAGUUCGUGUGAAGGCUUUUAUAGGCAAAUUUAAUUAGUUUGUAUGCUAACAAGUCAUACAAAGAUUUUUCUUCUUUUAUUUUUUUAGGCUUUUGGAUGGAAAAAUUGAAGUAGUGGAGCCCUCAAUAUGUAGUUUCGAAGCACAGCUAGACUUUGGAGGCUUCAUCUUAAUUACAAGGCCGUGAAUAUGAUUGGACGGGCCUAUUGACUACGCAAUAAUAACAAUUAAUAUAGACCGUUUCCAAAAGAAAUUGGGUAAGAUUAUUAGCUUUCGAAUUUGCAAGUCAGCCAACCAUUCUUGAAAUUUCAAUUUUAAAAAAAAAAAGGUUAAUUUAAGUGUUCGGUAGUUAUUUUAACUGUUUUGGACGCUUCGUAAAACAAGCUGUAAUUUAUUCCUUCAAGAAGAUGUACAGUAGCUAUGCCCUUCGAACUAAAUUAACACAGCCUUCUCUUUCCACUUCCUAGACUCUUUAAUAUUUUGCUUCUUCUUCUUUCAAUUCUCUAAAAUCCUUUUUUUUUUCCCUUCUUUUCUUAUAAUCUAAAUGAACCAUCUCUCAAAGUUGCUUUAUUAUUUGAAAACCUUUUAAUUGACCGCGUUGAGACCACCCUCAAGAAUUAGUCCAGCUGUCCCCAUUAAAGUUCAGAUCCCGCGCCAUUAUCGAAGGAUUUGGUUCUUCAAGCUGAAUUGAAUUAUUAGUAACAUUAUUAUAUAUUAUAGCAACAAUGAUGAAGAAACUGAUAAACAGAGAGAAAGAGAGAUAGAAAUAGAAAAGAAAUGAGAGAUAAGGUAAAAUUUUGUUUUUUAAUCUUAAACGUGUGUGGUUGUUUAUUGAAAAAAAAAAAAGAAUUACAAAAAAUAUUUUCUUUAUCCCAACAAUUAUUUAAUAUUUGUAGGUUUAAAUGGAUUGGAGGAAAAUUUAGCUAUAAAGCAAUGUUAUUAUGUGCGAGAUUGUAGUAGUUACCAAGAAUUUUAUCUCUUAAGAGCUAACUUGUUAUGUUAUAAAAAAAUAUUUAUAAUAAUUUGAUAAUUAUGGUGUAAGAACCAUGAUAAUGUAAAACUUUUUUUUAUUAAUGCUGAUACUAACUUAUGUGUGGUAUGUUUGUGUAUGUAUUUAUAUAAUUUUAUAAUUUGUUUAAUGUUUUAAUGAAUUAUUUACUUAGUUAAGGAGAUUAUUUAAGAAAAUUUAUAAUUUUUUUAAAUAUUGCUUUUUAACUAAAUGUUUAGUAAAAAUUAUUUCUAAAAAUAAUACUAUCAAACACAUUGUAUAUUUAUCAUUUUCAAUUAUGUCUACUGAACAAUGUUCCUAGUUUUAUUUUUAAAAUAUAGGAUCCAAAAAAUGAUAAUAGACGCAUACUUAUGGGUAAUUAACUACUAUAAUGUUGACAUGUGGCAGAGAAGAUAAGAUCUGAAUGAAGCAGUGAGGAGGAUUUAGUCCAAAUCACGUAUAUAUCGCGGCCUUGAAUAAACCUGAUAAAGAAAUUUCCUUUGUUCAAAUUCAUUUGGUAAACCAAUUUAGACGUAAACAAGUCAAAAUGCUGUGGAUUCAAAACGCGGAAAGACCUCUAUUGAAUCUUUUGUCGUUUAGUGCGUUUUCUGUUCUUCUACUGGUACAAUUUAAUUUAAUAAAAAAUAUACCCAAGGCCAAGGCAGGUGUAAAAUUUGUUCAAUAUUUGUUUCAUCGGUCAAUAAAAUUAGGAUGCAAAAUUUUUGCUCCCAAUAAUACGCGGUCAAUCAAUAAAAAUUAGGUGGUAAUUGACUUUUUUAUUACAUGAAUCAACCACACGUCAAUUGUCAGCCGUUGGAUGGGUAACCAAAAGGAUAGAUGGGUUCUGGGAAAAGGACGAAAUAAAAUUCACAGUUAGGUGGGGGGAGUGAGGAAUAAGGGGACCCACACACACGUGUACAAAGUGGUCCACGAACGAAGAAGCGUCAAGCGUUGCAUUGCAUAGGGAGAAUUUUGUUGGGUUUAGUUAAGGUCAGCAUCUUAAUCAUGGAAGCAUUAUUUAGGUGGACAUUACGGCCAAGGCGGAUGUACGGUACAGCAGAGCAAGGCUAGACCGGGCUGUAGCCCGGUCAAACUUAGUAAAAAAUCAUUCAUACCCCUUAUUUUACUAUCAAUUAUAGACAAUAAUAGAGAUUUUAUUUUGUUUUCAUACAUGUCCCUAAUAUAAUUAUCCUAAUAUUUUCAUUAAUUUUAUACUAUAAUAGAGUUUUUAUUUUAUUUUUAAAUAUGUCCUUAAUUCAAUUAUAUUUUUUUCCAAUUGAAAUUAGUGACUUAUUUUAUAAAAUGAGUAAAAUAUUUAUUUACUAUAUAGAUAAAAAACAUUAGGGGGUAAAAUGUUAUUACUUUAAUUUAUUUAAAGAAAAAUCUAAUUGAAAGAAAGUAUGUCAAUCUAAUAUAAAAUUGUCACUAGUAUUAAACUACUUAAAAAAAACAUGUAGUAACAAUUAUCAACAUUUUCAUAAACUUUUUAUGUAAAUUUUGAGAUUUUAUUUAUUAGUUAUAUUAACUAAGAUAAAAUUUGAAUAUUUUGAGGAGCUUUCAUUUGAUAGAAAAAUCAUCAACAACUGGUUCUUUAAAAAGAGUCAGAGCGUUUGGCAAAGAAACAAUAACACCUAAAUACAUUUUUGUUAGGUUGAAUUUAGUUUAUAAUUGAAACUUUUGACUAAUAAUAUUUUUAUAAUUUAAAAAGAGGAAUAAAUUUGAAUUGUUUAAUUUAUUGAAACCUGGUAAUUAAGUACUUGACUUCAAACAUUAAAGUUUUACUUCAAUUUUUAAUUGAUUGUAAUUACAUGUAUUCAUUUAUUUCAGCUUAAAAUCCUUAAUUAAUAUAUUAAUCCUUAUAUAAUUCUUGUAUAAUUACAUUUUAUUAGAGUCAGAUUUCAUAAUUGUAAAAUAAUAUUUUAUUUUUUUAAUUGCUUUUGUUUUCUACUCUUUUUAUAUAACUAUUUUUGUUUAUAACUUAUAGCGAUAAGAUUUUUCGUGCCCCCCUUAUUUGAUGCAAUUUUUUCUACUUAUAAAUUUUUAUGCUCACUUUAAAAUAUAAAUUUUUUAAUUUAGCCCGGGGUAAUACAAAUUCCUGGGUCCGCCCCUGGUGGGAAAACACAUCCUCCUCUUCUUUUUUUUUUUUUUUUCUUCUGCUUUUGCCAAUUGCCAGUGGCCACUCAAUUUCUUAUUCCAUUCUACUCUACAAAAGUCGCCCCGUCAAUUUGAAACUAAAUGCCAACCACCAAACGAGGUAUCAAACAAAAUCUUUUCGAUCUCUCACUCUCUGUGCGUGCAUGGUUGUAGAUACUUAUAGAGACGAGUCAUAGUUCUAUUACAAACAAACCAUGCAACUAAGCUGUUUUCAGUUAGGUUGUCUUUCUUCUAAUUAUUUGUUUUUUACGAUGUGGUCUUUUGGUGGGCAUUUAUGUCUUCUUUCUUUCGAAAUGUGAGUAGAGUAGACACCCCUUGAAUAUUAAAGAGGGAUAAAAUAUGGGCAGUGCUACAUAAGAAUUAAUGUAAAUUAGUCUCAAUAAUUAUCUGAGUGUAAAUAUCAGUUGUAAAUCUCAUAAAAUAUGAGUUGUAAUUUGAGCAUUAGUCUCAUAUUAUUCAAAAAAAAAUUCCUUUUCACUUAUAUGUCAAAUUUUGGUUUUUAGUUCUUUCUCUUUUAAUUAAAAAAAAUAAGAGGAAAAAAUAAAUUUAAUGUCCAAGCAAUCAAUAAAAAUGAGAUUAAUCAUUUUUUUAACUCAUUUUCUCUUUCCCUCUUUCCUUUCUAUUCCUAUCCCCUUCUAUCAUUUCUUCCAAUCAAAGAUGGGCCACACUAAGGUAGUAUUUAAUUUUAUUUUUUUGUUUGAAAUUUGAAUGAUUUUGAAUUUUUUUAAAGUUUGAAUGGGUAUGAAUAUAAAUAUCUGAAUAACAUGUUUGUUUUUAUAUUUUUAAUGUUUGAAUAUAAGUAAUAUCUUAUUUGUUUAUAUAUAUAUAAAUGGUUAUUUUACAUUUAUGUCUUUGCAAAUAAAAAAAAAUGAUUAGAUUUUAUAGUUUAGAAAAUAAAUAUAUUUAUUGAGAUAUUUUUAUAAUAUAAUAUUUACUUUUCAUUCGGACUUUUUUUCAUUCAAAUAAAAGUUAGCAAAAAUUUAUUUUUUCUAUUUAGAUAUAAAUAUUUAAGAAUCUGACAUAAGUUAUAAAAAAAUAAACAAACGAGUUUUAAAAAAUUAUAUGAAAUUAUAAAAUUUAAAUUUCAAAUAUAUGACAAACAACCCCUUAUUACUCCUGGUUUAUUUUUUUUUUAAUAUAGUAUUGAUCACAUUAGUGAGUUUUCAAUUAGAGAUUCUUAUUAUAUUAAAAUUAUGGAUGAAUUUAAAAAAUACAGAUUUUUAAUAAAAAUACAUAAUAAAAUACUCUCUAUCAAAGCUUGUAUUUUUUUAUCUGGUAAUUUAUACCUGACUUUAUACGAUCAUAUAUUCCUAAUUAUAAGGUUUCUAGUGAUGAUCACAAAAACGAUAUUACUCGGCCUACCGUCCCCCUCCAUAAGCUAAUCAACAGCGUCCCUCUAUCGAAAUCCAUUUUUUAUAUUAAAAAAUUUGAUUCUUUAUUUAUUUUUGUCGGCACUGACCGUACAUUCCUUUACUAAUAGACCUAUACAGACACCCACUACAGGAAUAGAUUUCUUAUGUCUCCACUCGCCCAUCCCCAUUCUCUUUGCCCUGGCCGGAUUAUCACUGGUGUCAAAAAUUGAACACUGCCAGGCUCCACAAACCACCGCCUGGUAUUUUUUCAUAUCAAACCUCUUUAAUUAUUUUCUGCAUAUUAUUUAUUAAUUUCUGUUUAUUAAUAUUAUUAAAUGGCUACUUAAUUAACAGCGAGGGAGGGUUAGUCAUCAUCAAUCAUGGAGAGGAAGACAAAUCCCAAUGCCGCCAAUGCAGACCUGAUAUCUGCAUUGCCGGCACCGAUAUUGCGUCAUAUCCUGUCAGUUCUCUCGAUUGAACAAGUUGUUCACCUUGUCUACUCUCUAAAACAUGGAAACAGGUCUGGCAUACUCACUCAAGUGUCGAAUGUAAUGGAUUAUUAUCGAAGAGUCCGGAGAACAUAUUGAAAUGCUUGUUAAAAACUUCGCUAAAUCGUUAUCGGGGUGAUAUUAGUUUAGAAAAGUUCACGCUUAUUAUUCAGUUAUCAGAUGAUCUGAAAUUUGUAUCCAGCGUAUACAGAUGCCUUAGAUAUGCAGUUGAAAGUAAUGUCAAUGAGUUAAAACUGGGAUUUUGUUGUCCUUAUAGUAAUUAUCCUGAUAGCUAUUACAAUUUGCCUCAAUUAGUUUUCUACGCUAAAUCAAUGGCUCUGUUGGAGUUAGAUUCUUGUAAGCUAGAGUCACCGAGAGGUAAUGUUAUCUUAUCUUGUUUGAUGGAAUUGUGCCUAAGACAUGUUUGUGCGGAUGAUCAAGUGAUUAAGGAUCUACUUUCUGGGUGCCCUUUGAUUGAGUUUAUAAGUAUCAUUUCUUGUCAAGGAUUGAAACAUCUAGAGUUACCCAAUCUUGGUAAACUUAAGGAAUUCAAGGUGUAUGAUGAAUAUGGACUUGAACGGGUGUAUAUACAUGGAGUGAGUGCUCAUUCAGUAGAUAUCAUCGCCCUGCAUAUACUUCCUCACAUCAAUAUAGCCGCUUGCAAGAAUCUAAAAAAAUUAUAAUUAUGUCAAGUUUUCAUUACUGAUGAGUGGCUUUGCGACCAAAUUCCUCAACUUCUGUUCCUUGAGUAUUUAGAAAUAGUUGACUGCAUGAAGUUAAGGAGUAUUAAGAUUUCAAGUUGCUGUCUGAAAAGUUUUUUGUUCACAAGUUAUGAUACAUCGGAUGAGUUCUAGCUUUACACUCCAAAUUGAAGUAUAUUCAAAUAUAAUGGUGAUUUGAUAUCCUUCUCUUCAACUGCUUUCUCUUUGUCGGAAACUGCAUUGUUUUUCAACUCUGAUAAUAUUAACAAUCAAUGGUUUGUAUGAUUGAUUGAAGUUCUUGCAAAGUUCAGUCGUUCAAAAGUUUUAAACUUGCAAUGUAGUCAUGAGGUAUGUUUAUUCCUUCCAGACCCUUCUACCUAAAAUUUUAUAUCCUUUUUGAAUAAAUUACUGUCAUACAUCAUGAAGCUCUUUUUUUUUUUUAAUUUUUAAUUUUCUUCCUGAAGGCUGUGAUUAUACCAAGAGAAUUGUGGGAAAUAUUACAUAUACCCUGAAUAUCUAAACUUGCUGAACCUCCAGCUACUUAAUUAAUAGUGAGGGAGGGGACAAAUCAUGGAGAGUAAGACCAAUCCCAGUCUGAUUGUGGAUGUGGAUGUGGAGGUGGACAAGAUAUCUGUAUUGGUGGAAGCAAUAUUGCAUCAUAUCCUGUCAUUCCUCGCAUAUGAACAUGUUGUUCAAACUCGUAUACUCCCUAAAACAUGGAAACGUUCUAGCAUUCUUGUUUGAUAUAGAAUGUGGUCAAUUUUAAUUUCUCUAAGUCGAUGUCAAGGAAUCAAGAGUAUUUGGUAAAAAUUUGCAAAAUUGUCAUCUGAAUGCUAUUAGUUUAUAGAAGUUCACGGUUGAUGUACAAUCAUCGGAUAAUUAUCUAGGAUUUGAAUCCCCCAUAAACAUAUGCCUUAGCUAUGCAGUUAUAGCUGGGAGUAAUGUCAAAGUGUUAAAACUUCGAGUUUAUUGUCCUUUGCCUCAAUUAAUUUCUAUGCAAAAUCAAUAGUUCUGCUGGAGUUAGAUUCUUGUAAGCUGGAGUCACCUACAAGGAAUGUUUUUUUUCCUUUUUCUUUUUUAUAAAACUUACAAGGAAUCUUACCUUAUCUUCUUUGUGAAAGUUGUACCUAAGACAUGUUUGUGCAGAUGAUCAAGUUAUGAAAGAUCUAAGUGGUUGAAUCCAUAAAUAUCAUUGCUUCUCGAGGAUUGAAAAAUCUAGUGUUACUAAAAUCUUAGUAAACUUAAGGAAUUCAAAUUGUAUAAUAAUCUUACUCAUUCCUCCCACACAAACAAGUUGUUCAAACUAGUAUACUCUCUAAAACACGGAACAUGCCUGUCAUUCUUGUCUGACUAUAGAAUGUGGUCGAUUUUUCUCUACGUUAAGGAAUCGGCAGUAUUUAGUAAAAAAAUUUGCAAAAUCGUCAUCUGAAUGUUAUUAGUUUAGAGAAGUUCACAGUCGGUGUAGAAUUAUCAAAUCAUUAUCAAGAAUUUAAAUUCAACAAAAUAGAUGCUGAGGCCCUUUGCAAGAAUCUAAAUCUACUAAACUUUUGCCAGCUUUUCAUAACGGAUGAGUGGCUUUCGAACUUAAUUUCUGAACUUUCGUUCUCGGAGUGCAUACAUAUACAUCUUUGUAUGAUUUUAAGGAGUAUUAAGAUUUCAAGUGGCAGUCUUAGGAAAUUAUUUUUCAGAAGUCGUGAUAUGUUGGAUGAGUUCAAACUUGACACUCCAAAUUUAAGAAUAUCAAAUAUCAUGGUCAUUUGGUAUCCUUCUCUUCAAAUGCUUUGGCUUUGUCGGAAAUUACACUGUUUUUCAGCUUUGAUAAUAUUGACAAUCGAUGCUACGGGAAAUUGACUGAACUUUUUGCACCGUUUAGUCAUUAUUCCAAAGUUUUGAAGUUGGAAUGUGAUCCUGAGGCAUGUUUGUUCCAAAUUUUUUUACCUAAAAUUUUUUAUCUUGUUUGAAUAAUUUAGUAGCAUACAUCUUGAAACUCUAACCCCUUUUUUCUUUACUAAAAAAAAAAAAAAACCCUUUUUUUUUUUACCAAAAAAAAAAAAAAAAAUUCCUGAAGGAUGUGAUUAUACCAACAGAAUUGCGGAAAUCUUAUGUCCCCCAUUAGUUAAUGACAAGUAUGUGUGCUUUUUAGCCUCUGAAUAUCGAAGAGUUUCCCUUGCAAAACUUGUGGAUGGCUUGCUCUGGAUUUCACCACAUAUGGAGAACUUAUCAAUAAAGUAUGAUCUGUAUUGUUGGAAGUACAAGCUUUCUUUUCAGGUAGGCUGUAUUUUUCAUUUAUGGGAAUUAAAGACUUGAUCUGUACUGUGAAGAUGGAGAUGCUAUAUCAAUUUCUUUUGUCAUCCAAGUCCCUGAUGAGAUCUUAUGUAAAAUCAAUACUUAAACUUCUACUUGUUAAUUAGCCUUGUAUUUUCAAUUGACUUUCAUUAAAGGAUCCAAUAAGGAUAACUAAACUUACUUUUAGCAUUGUUGAAGCAUAAUAUUUUUAAAAGCAUGCAAGUAAUAUUAAUAGGACGGUCUUAGUGUAUUGCUAAUCCGUUUAUAUUCAACUUUAUCUUGGGACUUCAUUUUGUUUUUCCUUUUGAAAGUUGGAUCCCUAGAUAGUAUGUUUUUUUUUUUUUUUAAAAAAAGGGUUGAUAAUAGAUUUGCUUACUGUUGUUUCAAUUCUCUUAUAAGAAGUUGCUUAUAUCUGAAGGAGAGAGAACUCUAUAUUACUGCCAAUUUGUUCCUCUCUCAUGUUGGCAGUAUUGCAUAAAGGAAGUUAAGAUUAAGUGCUCUAGAAAAUUUCCAGGAAAAGCAUAUAUUGAUGUACAAAAUUAUUUCUUCUGAGGUGGAGAGAUCUUGGAGAAAAUUGACGAUCUUUGGAGAUCUUUGUGUGUGUGAUGAGUCAGAUGAUAGUGAUGAGAACAGCAUUUAUUUGUGCAUAAAGACUCUAAGGACGGAGACAUACUGUAGAAGAUUGAUGAUCUCUGGAGAUCUUUGCAAGUUUAUGGUCUGAUGGCAGUGAUGAGUCUGAUAAUAACAACUUGGCAAAAUUUUAUUUGAGUUCUGGUAGUGGUAUCCUUAUCGGAUUCUAUUGUAAUGGUCAUUAGCCCAAUGUGUGAAUAGCUUCCAAUGAACCAGUUCAUGUGUACCUUUUCAUCACUUCUUUAUUCUGAAUCUUAAACUUACAUUUUAGUGUACAGUGUUGAUUUAUGCCUCUUGGUGCCAAAUAACAAAACAUUUGGUUAUAAAAUGGUUUCCAAUCCUUUCCUUUAUUAAUCCUCCACAUGUUUUGCAACCUAAUAUUAAUCUUAGAGCUUGAAAUUCAGUUUAUUUAAUCUUGUAUUACAGUUGGAUCUUUGCUCGUGUCUGACUAUAGCGAUGGACCAAUUGUGAUUUGUGCCGUGUGGAUGUGGGUCUAAAAAAAUUAAACUUUUAAAGCACUUUGUGUAUGAAUUGGAUAUGCAACAUCCACUGGCUUAUGUAGAAGAAGAAAGCAUUUACGCUAGGUGGAUUAAUUCCUUGUGAGGCGAUUUAGCAAGGAACGAUAUAUGAAUAAUAAUAGAAUAUUCAUUUUCAAUUAAAAGUGAUGUUAAGGAUGGUAGAAAUCGCUAUGGGGAUAGGGAUCCUUAGGGAUUUUAUCCAUUCGGAGUGGGAAUGAGGAUGAUUUUAUACCCAAAUUUUUUCUUUUUUUGUUGGGGAAGGAAGAGGAUGAUUUUUUACCAAUUUCGUUUUUGGGGAAGAGAUAGGAAUGAUUUUUUACCUAGUUUUAUAUUAGGGGAAUGGACGAGAAUGAGCUAGAAUCUUCAUCCCCUCCUCAUUUUCUCAUUUUAAUUUUUAAUUUAAUUUUUAUUUUUUAGCAUUAUUACUUGGCCGUACAGCAGUUAAAUUAUAAAAUAUUAAAUAUUAGUAUAAAUAGUAAAUUUCAAAAUAUUUGUAUAAAUAUAUUAUAAAACUUUAGGGCUUAGUUAACUAGUUAUAAUUCUGAAUUAUUAUUCAAUCAGACCUUCCAAUGGCCUUGGUUCAAAUCCAUUUUAGAUUAUGAUUUAUAUUGCUCAUAUUAUUUAUAUUGUUUUAAAUUUGAAACCUGAUGUUAUCUCUCAAGGAACAAUAGUAGCAGGAGGUAUAAGAGUAAAUGCUUUUAUAAAAAAUAUUAAUUUCAGUAUCUAUACCCUUUUCAUUUAUUUCAUUAUUGAUAUAAAAAUAAUUUCUUUUUGUUUUUAUUGUAGGAUUAUAAAGAUUGAUGAAAAUAAUUAUUUUGAUGAUUUGUUUUUUGUAGUGUGAUUUUUGUAAUGGAUUAAUGUUAAUGUAAUAUAUAUUGUCAAACCUUAAUUUUGUUUAAAAUUUUUAUGUUAAUAUUAUUAAAUUAAGUUUAAAAAUUAAAAAUAUAUCGGUUAUUCGGGGAUUGGAGACCCUUGGGGAUCCCCUGCUAUUAUUUAGAGAGGGGACGGGGAUCUCGUCAAGCAAUUCUUAUGGGAACGGAGAGGGGACUGAGACAUUACAAAAUAUCAGGGAUGGGUAUGGGGAUGCCCUCCCCUGCCCUCUCAAUUGCCAUUCAUGUGCUAUGUUUACUCACUUUAGAUUACUUAGUUAGGAUGUUUACUGAUAUGGCAUCUUAUGUGUCAUUCAUUGAGUGAUGAUAGAUUUUAAUUAAUAAUAAAUUAGUUAAUACAUUGAAAGAUUGACGACACAUCAAUAACUAUCCCAACUAAGUGUAUAAACUAAGUAAGCAUAUCAUUAUUGUUCAAUUAAACCAUUGAUAUUCUAGUCACUUCCUUUUUUGACUAAUUAUAGAGCCAAAUUUAUUAUUUGCAUUCGUUCCAUAGUUGCGCAUAAUCCAAUCAAUCCGAUUGUAUUGAAUUACUGCUGUACCGUACAUCCGCCUUGGCCGUACAGCAGCAAGAAUUUUAUCUCUUGGCAUAACUUAGCCACAUAGCCACAACAUCUCUCAUCUCCAUCCGCUCAAAUGGAGAUUCCAUUGAGCAGAGAACACCAAUUCUAAUUAUAGCAAUCAAACACUGCUGCGUUUUGGCUCUUCUAUCUUCUUGAAUCAUAGAGUUGUUCGCCAUUACCUCCAUAAAAGUGAAGGAUCAACAAUCUCUAUCACUUUUUCUGGUAAAGCCAUCGUGGCAAAUUCAUGGAGAGUAAGUCCUUCAGUAAAUGCUGAAUCAGUUGGUCGCCUUCCGGUAAACAUCUCCAGCAACAAAAUUCCAAAGCUAUAUACAUCUCCUGUCAUGCAUACUUCGCUGCCCAUGCCAUACUCUUAAACAUGUUGAUUCAUUGUGUUAGUUGCCAAACAAAUGCUAAGAUCUAAUAAAUGCAUAAAACUUUUUAAUAUAUAAAUAUAUCAAGAUGUCUGCAAAUUAAAAAAUCUGAACUGGGCUAAAAGAGACACAAAUGAAAAAAUACGAACUCCAAUGUAUUAGUUUCUCAGAGAAUUGGAGUUCGCGUUUUUCUUUUUAGCUUUUACGUUUGUUCAGAUGAUUAAAAAAGGAUGGAAAUUCGUAUAAGAAAAUGAUGGGAUGUGUGUGUAUAACAUGAAAAACUUACCUGGAGCAACAUAGCCAACCGUUCCUUUUAUCCCAAUUGAGCUUGAUGCAAUUUUACUAGCGGUAUCAAGUUGGUGACUAGAGAGAAAUUUUGCUAGUCCGAAGUCACCCACAUGGGCAACCAUGUCAUGAUCUAGCAGAACAUUGCUUGGUUUUAGAUCUCCGUGAACUAUAGGCGGUUGACAGUGGUGGUGAAGAUAUUCAAUUGCAGAAGCCACAUCAAUGGCUAUGUUCACUCUUUGAAUGAGAGUUAAUUUGCAAACUUCAAGAUGAUCAUUGCUCUGGUGCAACCAAUCCUCUAAACUUCCAUUUCCAUAUAUUCAAAAACAAGAGCCUUGAAAUCAGCCCCCUUAGAAUCUAUACUAGAGCAAAUAGUGAUGAUUUUGAUAAGAUUUCGGUGGCGAAUAUUUCUUAAUGCUUCACAUUCAGCCACAAAACUCCUAAAAGCUCCUUUCUGCUUAAGAUUUAUCACCUUCACUGCAACUAUCAUUUCAUCUUCAGCCAAAAUCCCCUUGUACACAGAUCCAAAGCUUCCUUGACCAAUCAUGUUUGACGAUGCAAAUUCACUUGUUGCCUUACUUAGCUCUGCAUAAGAAAUCAUAGGAAAUUGUUUUUCCAUUGGCGAUGUAUCAACAGAUUUAUGCGCAGAUCUCCUUCUUCGAGCAUAAACAAUAGUAAGGCAUGAGGAUAAGACCAGGCAUGACACUGCCACUGGAAUCAACACUUUGAGGAGAGUGAUUUUUCGUUUUCUUGAUCCUCUAGAUGGACAGGAUGGUAAAUGCAAUUCAUCUAUACCCCCACAAAGCUUCACAUUCCCUUGGAGUGAAAUUUUGGUUUUAUUACGAAAAACUCCUUUAGUUGGAACCUCACCCUCCAAAUGAUUGUAAGAAAGAUUUAAGAAUUCUAAGAAAGAUAGAUUUUGAAGAAAUUCUGGAAUCUGGCCAGACAGAUUAUUGCUUGAGACAUUUAACUCUUUAAUGCUUUUCAAGAAACCUAAAGAAAAGGGAAUGACGCCAUGAAAAGAAUUGCUCGAAAUAUCAAGAUAUUCUAAGCUUACACAAGUACUUAAAGUAACAGGAAUCACACCGGAAAAUUGGUUGCUAGAUAUGUCCAACAUUACGAGAUUCUUCAGGUUGCCCACUUGUAGAGGAAGAGAGCCGUUUAGAAGAUUAUAGGACAGAUCUAGGUAAAGUGAAAGUGUUGUUAUGCUGAGAAGCUGAUAGGGCAAGGCACCGGUGAGCUUGUUAUGGGAGGCGCGGAAGCUUAUCAAAUUCUGACAAUUACCAAGGGAUGAGGGUAUGUUGCCUUGCAAGUUAUUGAAGCUCAAUGCAAGAUCGGCUAGUUUAGUAAGAUUACCAAGACUGGGGGGAAUGCUCCCUUGUAAAAAGUUUCUAAACAGGAAUAAUACUUGCAAGUUUUUAAGUUCACCGAUUACAUCAGGAAUAGUGCCAUGUAAUUGGUUCGAAUCCAUAGUGAGUGCAACUAGAUUGACAAGAUUUCUUAUUCCAGGAGGUAUGGUUCCAGAUAUUUGGUUUCCUCCUAUGCUGAACUGAAUCAUUGUUGAUGAGAGAUUUGCUAUAGAAUGAGGCAGCUCUCCUCCGAAUUGAUUAUCAUAUAAACUAAGACUUUUCAAACUACUACAAUUAGUUAGAGAGGUCACUAAGUUUCUGAGUAGGCCAAGGGUAGACGGAAUUUUCCCGCCCAAUGAAUUCCCCAUAAUACGAAUUACCUCAAGAUCUGAAAGAUUUCCAACGAAAUCAGGGAGUUGUCCUGUUAAAUAGUUGUCGUUGACGGCCAAUGUUUGAAGCUUCAACAAGUUGCCUAUCUCUUCGGGGAUUUGUCCCUCAAGUUUGUUGUUGGAGACAUGAAAGUGGAUGAGGUUAGAGCAACGGGACAAAUUGGCAGGUAUUGUCCCCGAAAAUGAAUUGUUAGGCAGUGCUAGUUUCUUAAGCCUUAAAAGAUUACCAAUUUCUUGGGGAAUUUCACCAUGGAAGCCGUUGUCGGCAAGGUUUAUGUACCUGAGGAAGCUGAGAUUUCCAACAUACGGAGACAAGACGCCUCCUAUCCUUUGGUUACUCAAAUCUAACUCGGUUACCCUUUGAUGCCGAUGGCCACAGGUCACUCCCAUCCAUUGGCACAAGUUUAUAGCAUUGUUCCAUGAACUUGUGACUCCUGAUGGAUCGUGAAGCUGUG